Molecule: ribosomal RNA, 150 nt
Filed under: uncultured bacterium
Lineage: Bacteria
Description: partial 16S ribosomal RNA
Rfam family: Bacterial small subunit ribosomal RNA
Source: RNAcentral
CCUACGGGAGGCAGCAGUGAGGAAUAUUGGACAAUGGGCGCAAGCCUGAUCCAGCCAUGCCGCGUGCAGGAAGACGGCCCUAUGGGUUGUAAACUGCUUUUGUACGGGAAGAAACCUACCCUCGUGAGGGUAGCUGACGGUACCGUAAGA